This 1065-nucleotide ribosomal RNA is filed under the name Triticum aestivum (bread wheat). Its description in RNAcentral is "partial small subunit ribosomal RNA". The record is from RNAcentral. Lineage: Eukaryota; Viridiplantae; Streptophyta; Magnoliopsida; Poales; Poaceae.
AUGGCCGGCGACGACCGGCUGUCGAACCUCUCCGACGACCUGCUACGGUGCAUCCUACACUUCGCGCCGGCAAAGGAGGGCGCUGCCACCAGCGCGCUCGCACGGCGUUGGCGCUCGCUCUGGCUCUCCUCCGGCGCCGUCAACCUGGACUCACGCUCCUACGACCACCUGGACGACCACGACAAGCGCGACGUCAUUGUGCGCGAUGCCAGUAAAGCGCUCGCCGCCGCCGGCGGCCGCGGUCGCCCCGUAACGAAGUUCACCUUCCGGUACGUGGAAGGAGAGGACGACCCAUGGAUCCUCUUAAGAAAGAACGACAUAGAGGAUGCGAAGCAUCACAUGUCCGGAGACCUCCGGGCCACGCUCUACAGCCAGGCGUCCCGCCACCUCGAGGAGCUCCGCCUCGGGCUCUUCUUCGGCCCGCGCAGCGACGGGCCCCGGGACCUGUACAGUUUCAGCAUCCCCUCCCUGUCGUCGGCGCCGGCGCUCCGCGUGCUGCACGUCAGCAAGUGCCUGGAAUGGGACUGGGACCGUCUCUGCCCGUCGCGGCCGGCCAGCGUGACGCCGCCGUUCCCGCGGCUGCUGGACCUACGGCUGCACCAGUGCAGCGUGUCGCUGAGCAUACUCCAGGCCGUCAUCGACGCCGCGCCGCUGCUCGCGACUCUGCAGCUCGACGGAGUCGAAUUCAGAUUACCUGCCCUACCUUCAGCGACGCAGCCCCCAGCCGCGCGGUCCAUCCUUCUCCGUGUCCCCAAGGUCACAGCCAUCGUGCUGGAGAAUAUGCACUGCUGGGGCCAUCAAGGCCAGAACACCAUGGAGCUCGACGCUCCGCUCCUGCGAUGCUUCGCCUACAGGGGGGCUGUCCGGUCACUGUCGCUCAGAUCGCCGCCGCCGGACAUGACACGAGUAGAUUUGAGCUUCCAAGUCCCAUCUGCUCGAGUUGAUACGGACGACACAAUGUGCCGACUCUUCUGGAAUUUUGUUCGUAACUUCUACGGUGCAAACACCAUCAGCCUCAAGUUCCAACUGUCACAGAAGGCAUGUCUAGGCGACUUGUGCUUUUAA